GCAGUGGUGGUUCAAUGGUAGAAUUCUUGCCUUCCACGUGGGAAACCUAGGUUCAAUUCCAAGCCAAUGUA
RNAcentral lists this transfer RNA (71 nucleotides) under Loxodonta africana (African savanna elephant). It matches the Rfam family "tRNA". Rfam says of the family: Transfer RNA (tRNA) molecules are approximately 80 nucleotides in length. Their secondary structure includes four short double-helical elements and three loops (D, anti-codon, and T loops). Further hydrogen bonds mediate the characteristic L-shaped molecular structure. tRNAs have two regions of fundamental functional importance: the anti-codon, which is responsible for specific mRNA codon recognition, and the 3' end, to which the tRNAs corresponding amino acid is attached (by aminoacyl-tRNA synthetases). tRNAs cope with the degeneracy of the genetic code in two manners: having more than one tRNA (with a specific anti-codon) for a particular amino acid; and 'wobble' base-pairing, i.e. permitting non-standard base-pairing at the 3rd anti-codon position. The record is from Rfam by way of RNAcentral. Lineage: Eukaryota; Metazoa; Chordata; Mammalia; Proboscidea; Elephantidae.